RNAcentral lists this ribosomal RNA (344 nucleotides) under uncultured actinomycete. RNAcentral's name for it is "bacterial SSU rRNA". It matches the Rfam family "Bacterial small subunit ribosomal RNA", at positions 528 to 869 of the family's 1533-position model. The record is from RNAcentral. Lineage: Bacteria; Bacillati; Actinomycetota; Actinomycetes; Actinomycetales.
UAGGGUGCGAGCGUUGUCCGGAAUUAUUGGGCGUAAAGAGCUUGUAGGCGGUUUGUCGCGUCUGCUGUGAAAGCCCGGGGCUUAACUCCGGGUCUGCAGUGGGUACGGGCAGACUAGAGUGUGGUAGGGGAGACUGGAAUUCCUGGUGUAGCGGUGAAAUGCGCAGAUAUCAGGAGGAACACCGAUGGCGAAGGCAGGUCUCUGGGCCAUAACUGACGCUGAGAAGCGAAAGCAUGGGGAGCGAACAGGAUUAGAUACCCUGGUAGUCCAUGCCGUAAACGUUGGGCGCUAGGUGUGGGGCUCAUUCCACGAGUUCCGUGCCGUAGCUAACGCAUUAAGCGCCC